UGGCAGAAUAGAGAGGCUGAGCGGCCCUUCAUUUUUACAUUAUAUAUUCCAUUUCACACCCCACUACCUCUCCUGAAACCAUACUGAUCACCCCUCUAAAUCAAUAUCUAGAACCAAUGAGAGUUCAUGCAGUAUGAUUUACUUUGUCUGUCCUUUUUUUUAGCUUAUUCAGCUUACAUGUCUGGAGAUGAGCAUAAGACAUUUUCCUGUGGUUUGUAUGGACUUUCACUUUGUGAUUUUUUGUGUUCUUAGCCAUUGUUCACCAUGUCCAAUUAUUGAGAGCUGGAAAACAUAAGUCAGGUGGCUUUUCUUGUCCAAGAUUUACUCUAUGGUCCAAUUAACUAUUUGCAGGCUCUACAGUAUACAACUUAUGUUUUCCCCUGUGGUGUUACAUCCUUUACUUGUGAAGAGGCAAAGGUGCACUCCUCUACAUGGGAGCAUGUGUACUUAUCCAGGUCACAAAUUCAUAUGCAGACUAGCUGUGGGUUAGAUUGUUAUGAGAAUUCUAUAUUUCUCUCAGUGCAUCUGCACAUAAAUUGCACCAUAGAUUUUUUUUUCUCUUCUUUUGGUAAGUUUAUUCUAUUUAAAUCACCCUGACACAUUGAAUUUGUGGUAAAAUUGUUAGUUUAUCCGAACCAUUUCAAUCUGCUCAACAAUUUUUCCCUUGGAAUCUGCUCAGCAUACAAAAGAUGAUGCUUAUAAGACCUCUUAUUUUAUCAUGUAUCUUCUCUAAAAUAUAAUGCCUUGUUUUAUCUGUUGUAUAUUUCGUUUGUCAGUCUAUUCUGCUUCUCUUAUAGUAUUACUUAGUGAAUAUUUGUUACUUUUCGUUAAAGGAGAAUUGUGAAGCCAACAAGAAUGCAGAAACUAGCUCAUAUGUUGCGAGGAAUCACAUACCUAAUAGCACAAUGCUAUCAUGAGAGUGGGUGUGCUCUCAUGAGGUAAUCCUAUCACGUGCCUUUUCAAUAGUAUGCAAAUAUUAGUUUCAGCAAGCGUGGAUGUAUUUUAACUUGUGUCGCUUCUCAAGGGACAUGCAUGGAGGGCCAGUGAGGUGCCAAGAUCUACCGGCCGCCCAUGGAACCUGUAUUGCCGUCCUCAGCCAUAUAUCAUAUUUCUAACACUUUCUUGUUCCAUUUUAAUCUUUUAGUUUUCUACCGUUCCAGUAGCAUCUCCAUGUAUCUGGAAGUAUUGGUAUUGAUGGUUGCAAUUGAUGAAAGGUGUCAACUAUUCUUGGUAUGUAUCAUCCGAGCAAAAAUUGACCAUUCUUUGACAACAACAGUUUUUCACUGCAUGUAUUGAACUUUGCU
Molecule: long non-coding RNA, 1304 nt
Filed under: Triticum aestivum (bread wheat)
Lineage: Eukaryota; Viridiplantae; Streptophyta; Magnoliopsida; Poales; Poaceae
Description: long non-coding RNA (TAES_LNC022221)
Source: RNAcentral